UAACCGCUGAAAGCAUCUAAGCGGGAAGCCUUCCUCGAGAUGAGUUCUCCCACCCCUUUGUGGGUGUAAGGCCCCCGGUAGACGACCGGGUUGAUAGGCCGGAGAUGGAAGCGCGGUAACGUGUGGAGUCGACCGGUACUAAUAGGCCGAGUGGCUUGAACACAC
Molecule: ribosomal RNA, 165 nt
Filed under: Micromonospora aurantiaca (nom. illeg.)
Lineage: Bacteria; Bacillati; Actinomycetota; Actinomycetes; Micromonosporales; Micromonosporaceae
Description: partial 23S ribosomal RNA
Rfam family: Bacterial large subunit ribosomal RNA
Source: RNAcentral